Panthera uncia (snow leopard) is the source of this 1436-nucleotide long non-coding RNA. RefSeq lists it as uncharacterized. The transcript is spliced from 3 exons. NCBI's taxonomy places the organism in Eukaryota, Metazoa, Chordata, Mammalia, Carnivora, Felidae. The record is from RefSeq and is a predicted model, not a curated record.
AGCUCCGCCGCGCCGAGCGCCCCUCGACACCCUUCCCCCUCCGCUCUUCAGUGGGCCGGAGUCGGUGACAGGAAUCGGCUUCCAACAUGGCGGACAGGAAGCGGCCCCGCGAGGAGGAGAGAACAUUCCAGCCGCGCCGGCUCUGGGGGGAGCGGGCCCGGGGCGCCGGCCUCGGGAGGAGGCGCGAGGGCACACUGCCGGAUCCGGUGCCCAAAAGGGGCGUCUAGAGGUGGAAAUAACCCAAGAAACGGGGGGUCCCGGCCACCCCCCCCAGACGGGGAACCCCAAGGCCACAGGUGGGCUUGGGGUGGCGGGUGAGGGAGGACACUUCCUCAACUCUGCCCACCUACCCUCGCCUCGCCGCCUGCAAAAGGGUCUCGCGACACCACCCGAGUCGGAAUUAGAUUUAUGUUCAUCAUUUUUACAUGAAAAUAAAUCAUACCACUUAAGCUAGAGCCUUGCUGCUCAGUGUGACCCACAAACAGUUGCAUCAGCGUCUUCUAAACACAGAAUCGCAACCCUGCCCUAGAGGACUCAAUCAGCAUCUGCGUUUAACAGGAUCCUCCAGUCAGCAGUGAUGAAAGCAAAUGAGGAUCUGGACAUCAUGGAGCUCAUGUUUUAAUGGAACAUGCAGAGAAUUAACACACAAAGAAAUAAGAUAAAUUCAUAUUAUGGUAAGUAUUGUGAAGGAAAUAAACAUGGCAAUGAAAUAAAGCCACUUUAAACAGGUAAUAAUAACAGGAUGUUAUUUGUAGGGUUUCUCAACCUCUGCACUAUUGUCAUUUGGGACUGGAUAAUUCUUUCUUUCAGGGGGCCGUCCUGUACAUUCUAGAAUGUUUAGGAGCAUCCUUGGCUUGUACCCACUAGAUAACAGUAACAUACAACCCCACCAGUUGCGACAGUCAAAAUGUCUCCGGAAGGGUUCUGGGUGGCUCAGUCGGUCGAACUUCCAACUCUUGAUUUUGGCUCAGGUCAUGAUCCCAGGGUGGUGGAAUUGAGCCCUGCAUCUGGUUCUGUGCUGAGCAUAGAGCCUGCUUAAGAUUCUCUCUACCCCUGCCCCUCUGGGGUGCCUGGGUGGCUCAGUCAAUUAAGCCUGGGACUCUUGAUUUCAGUUCAGGUCCUGAUCUCACACCUCAUGGGAUGGAGCCCUGCAUUGGGCUCUGUGCUGACAGUGUAGAGCCUGCUUAAGAGACUCUCUCUUUCCCUCUCUCUCUCUCUCUCUGCCCCUCCCCUGCUCACACGUGCUCUCUAAGGAAGAAAGAAAGAAAGAAGUUAAAAAGAAAAAAAAGAAGUAAGUUUGAACAGAAGAAUGGGUAGAAAUUGAAGUUCAACCUAGAACAUGGGACCAGAAACUAAAAUAGCUUGGAGUAGCCACUAAGUGAAAGGAGUGGAUAGCAAGUGGGCAAAUAUUCUGACUCCUAAUUCCUGAAGAUCUU